Musa acuminata AAA Group (dessert banana) is the source of this 349-nucleotide long non-coding RNA. RefSeq lists it as uncharacterized. NCBI's taxonomy places the organism in Eukaryota, Viridiplantae, Streptophyta, Magnoliopsida, Zingiberales, Musaceae. The record is from RefSeq and is a predicted model, not a curated record. The transcript is spliced from 2 exons.
GGAGAAGGAGAAGGAUCCACCGGUCCAACGGCCACCCUCUUAAAGGAGGAGGGUAGAAUUUAAGGGUGCGGACGUGGACAAGUAUAUGAUCAGAUCGGAUCAAUGGUUGAUCGAGAAGAAACAGAACACAUAUAUGAUUGAAGCAGUAGGGUCAGGAUUCAAGAGUCAAGACGGGUGUUGUCAUCUCAGGUUCUGUAGCUGCAGUGCCAACAGUGAGUUGUCUCUUAUUUCCUCUCCCUCUUUUGAUGCGAUGAAACUCUAUAUGUUCUUGGACAUUUGAAAUCUUCAGCCAAUGUUCGGUUUGAUUUAACACUUUGGCAUUAAGAAAAUCUAUUAUAAGUUUGCACCA